AGAGUUUGAUCCUGGCUCAGGAUGAACGCUAGCUACAGGCUUAACACAUGCAAGUCGAGGGGCAGCAUGGUCUUAGCUUGCUAAGGCCGAUGGCGACCGGCGCACGGGUGAGUAACACGUAUCCAACCUGCCGUCUACUCUUGGACAGCCUUCUGAAAGGAAGAUUAAUACAAGAUGGCAUCAUGAGUCCGCAUGUUCACAUGAUUAAAGGUAUUCCGGUAGACGAUGGGGAUGCGUUCCAUUAGAUAGUAGGCGGAGUAACGGCCCACCUAGUCUUCGAUGGAUAGGGGUUCUGAGAGGAAGGUCCCCCACAUUGGAACUGAGACACGGUCCAAACUCCUACGGGAGGCAGCAGUGAGGAAUAUUGGUCAAUGGGCGCAGGCCUGAACCAGCCAAGUAGCGUGAAGGAUGACUGCCCUAUGGGUUGUAAACUUCUUUUAUAAAGGAAUAAAGUCGGGUAUGCAUACCCGUUUGCAUGUACUUUAUGAAUAAGGAUCGGCUAACUCCGUGCCAGCAGCCGCGGUAAUACGGAGGAUCCGAGCGUUAUCCGGAUUUAUUGGGUUUAAAGGGAGCGUAGAUGGAUGUUUAAGUCAGUUGUGAAAGUUUGCGGCUCAACCGUAAAAUUGCAGUUGAUACUGGAUAUCUUGAGUGCAGUUGAGGCAGGCGGAAUUCGUGGUGUAGCGGUGAAAUGCUUAGAUAUCACGAAGAACUCCGAUUGCGAAGGCAGCCUGCUAAGCUGCAACUGACAUUGAGGCUCGAAAGUGUGGGUAUCAAACAGGAUUAGAUACCCUGGUAGUCCACACGGUAAACGAUGAAUACUCGCUGUUUGCGAUAUACUGCAAGCGGCCAAGCGAAAGCGUUAAGUAUUCCACCUGGGGAGUACGCCGGCAACGGUGAAACUCAAAGGAAUUGACGGGGGCCUGCACAAGCAGAGGAACAUGUGGUUUAAUUCGAUGAUACGCGAGGAACCUUACCCGGGCUUAAAUUGCAGAUGAAUUACGGUGAAAGCCGUAAGCCGCAAGGCAUCUGUGAAGGUGCUGCAUGGUUGUCGUCAGCUCGUGCCGUGAGGUGUCGGCUUAAGUGCCAUAACGAGCGCAACCCUUGUUGUCAGUUACUAACAGGUUCCGCUGAGGACUCUGACAAGACUGCCAUCGUAAGAUGUGAGGAAGGUGGGGAUGACGUCAAAUCAGCACGGCCCUUACGUCCGGGGCUACACACGUGUUACAAUGGGGGGUACAGAGGGCCGCUACCACGCGAGUGGAUGCCAAUCCCCAAAACCUCUCUCAGUUCGGACUGGAGUCUGCAACCCGACUCCACGAAGCUGGAUUCGCUAGUAAUCGCGCAUCAGCCACGCUGCGGUGAAUACGUUCCCGGGCCUUGCACACACCGCCCGUCAAG
Molecule: ribosomal RNA, 1398 nt
Filed under: uncultured bacterium
Lineage: Bacteria
Description: bacterial SSU rRNA
Rfam family: Bacterial small subunit ribosomal RNA
Source: RNAcentral